UCUUCUUCCUCUUCUUCUUCUUCUCCCUUAUAGCAAAAAUAAGAAAUAGGGUGUGGAAGCUUUCAAACUUUCGGCCUUGAUUUAAUAGGAAAUUGAACCAAAUUGGAGAUAAUCGGGGAAAAGCCAAAAUUAUCGAUUAGUCUUUGCAAAUUCAACUUGUUGGCUAAUUUGACCAGGUAAAUUCAUAUGGUAUGAUUAUGUUUAAAUUUUUGUGUAUUUUAAUUAUGAAUAUGUGUAUGUUUGGUUGAAAUUUGGAUUAUUUGUGAUUUGGUAUAAAAGGUGAGAUUGGGACUAAAUUGUAAAGAAAUGUAUUUAUAUAUAUGUCUGUGUGUUGAAAAUGUUUGGGUGAACUUGGUAAAGGUUUUGUGCACACUUGUAUGAAUUGAUUACCGAUGAUUACCAAAAUCUAACAUUUUUCGCGGACUCGAAGAUACAUGUGACACAAGUUUAGCCUGGAAUGGUAACUUGACAUCGAAAAUUGAACCUUUAAUGACACAUUUGAUUGCUUGGUUAGCUUGGACGAGCAAUUGAUGUAUCGAAGAUACUUGUGACACAAGUUUAGCCUGGACUGGUAACCUGAUGUCAAUUUAAAGGUUUAGCUCAGAUGAGUAACUUGACAUGUGUAUAUAUAUAUUCAGCUCGGGUAAUUGGUAUAAUAGGAUAUUUGUGUAUGAUAUGAAUUUGAUGUUCAAAUAGUUAAAUGUUGAAUUGAUUAUGAAUGUAGUAUUGAAAAGUUGAUUUUAGUGGAUUGAAAUGAUAUAUGUUUGAAUUACCAUUUGAUGUGACUAUAUGUUAAACUCACUUUAUUGAUAUGUGAUACCAUGUUUAGGCAAAUAUUGCCAAUCUAAGUAGCUUAUUUGAUUAGUUGUAAUAUGAGGUAAGUUUUUGUUUAAUGCAUAUGAACUUACUAAGCAUUCAAUAUGCUUACCCCAUUAUUUUUUCCCUUUUCCUAUGGAUUUCAACUUGCGGAACGUGUCUAGCAGAUCGUCCAGAAGCUCGCACUAUCCUGUUUUUAAAUUGGUAGCUUUUCAAUCAUUUUAAGUUCGAUUUUGUAGAAUGUAUAUAGGUGUUUGAAUAAGUUAACUUGAAAUGAUAAAUGUUAGCUUGCAACCUUUAUAAUGCUUGAUUUUGGUAAGGUUAAUGCUUAUAUGAAAUGUUAAGUUUUUGGCAAAGUUAGUGCCUAAUUGAAUGUAUAUGAUUUGGUAAACAUGUUUGAUACAUGUAUGUGACAAUUGAAAUGGUAUGAUUGAAUGUGAA
Gossypium raimondii (Peruvian cotton) is the source of this 1257-nucleotide long non-coding RNA. RefSeq lists it as uncharacterized. The record is from RefSeq and is a predicted model, not a curated record. Lineage: Eukaryota; Viridiplantae; Streptophyta; Magnoliopsida; Malvales; Malvaceae. The transcript is spliced from 2 exons.